AUGUUAAGAUUAACGUCAAUUCAUGUCAUAUCAUGUUUACGUCGUGCGUUGCAUUUAACAUUGUAUGAAUGUCGAAAAUAAAAAUAACGUCGGUCGUUUAUUCUGAACAAUGAUAUCAAUAUGCGUUCGCUGUAUCACGUUAAUAAAAAAUAAAUUUUAAUAUAUAAUUUGAUAACGUUAUGACGCGAAUGCGACCGAUGCGACACAGUUGGCGAAAUAUGCAAUAAAAGAAACAUAAAUCGCUGUAGACCUUAACAAAAUUUGCGGGCUCAGAAUACUAUUUUGACCGUGUUUCUGUAUAUUUCAUUACAAGUGGCAAGUCGAUCUUUGCAAUUAAAAUUUUUCACCCAAGAAAGAAUAUAUAUUUGAUACAACACAUUCAAGAACGAGCUGAUCAACGUUUUCAUCAACAAGUGCUGCUAUAUUGUAGCGUGAUCAAAAUAUAAGCAACGUCUCUUCACAAGGAAUUCCUACAACUGGCACAACAAGAGAAAGACAUUCUCAACGAAACAGUGGUU
This is a long non-coding RNA of Xenia sp. Carnegie-2017, 518 nucleotides long. RefSeq lists it as uncharacterized. Lineage: Eukaryota; Metazoa; Cnidaria; Anthozoa; Malacalcyonacea; Xeniidae. The transcript is spliced from 3 exons. The record is from RefSeq and is a predicted model, not a curated record.